This 246-nucleotide ribosomal RNA is filed under the name uncultured bacterium. RNAcentral's name for it is "partial 16S ribosomal RNA". It matches the Rfam family "Bacterial small subunit ribosomal RNA", at positions 1257 to 1500 of the family's 1533-position model. The record is from RNAcentral.
GUGAGGUGGAGCAAAACUCAAAAACUUAGUCUCAGUUCGGAUUGUAGGCUGAAACUCGCCUACAUGAAGCUGGAGUUGCUAGUAAUCGCGAAUCAGCAUGUCGCGGUGAAUACGUUCCCGGGCCUUGUACACACCGCCCGUCACACCAUGAGAGUUGGCAAUACCCAACGUACGUGAUCUAACCCGCAAGGGAGGAAGCGUCCUAAGGUAGGGUCAGCGAUUGGGGUGAAGUCGUAACAAGGUAUC